CUGUGAUAUGCUGCUUAGAGCUCGCUCUCCACCAACCAAAACACAUUUUGUUUCCAAUCAAUAUUUUAUUUACUGCAUGCGUUCAUAUUAUGACAACAUGCUCUUCAAAACAAAACAAAAAGACAAAAACAGCAAAGAUUUAAAAAUAAAUGGCAUGAUCAUGUAUUAAAAACAAAGUAAGAGGUUCGACUAAAAAGCACACAGAUUUAUAGGGAGAACUUUGAAAGCAGAAACAGGAAUAGUGUCGAGGUGAAUGAGGGAGGGGGUGAAUAUGCUUUACAAAGUGAUUCAAUGUUAAAGUAUUUUAGUGUUCUGAAGGGCUUUAAGCCAAUUAGAGUAAGAAGAUAAACCUAUUUCAAAAUGAUUUGAUUUGUUUCAUUGUAAAGUUUUAAUUAGAAAGUCCUGUGUGUGUGUGUAUUGAGGUGUGUGUGUGUGUGUCUGUGUAUUGAGGUGUGUGUGUGUGUGUAUUGAGGUGUGUGUGUGCGUGUCUGUGUAUUGAGGUGUGUGUGUGUGUGUGUGUGUAUUGAGGUGUGUGUGUGUGUGUCUGUGUAUUGAGGUGUGUGUGUGUGUGUAUUGAGGUGUGUGUGUGUGUAUUGAGGUGUGUGUGUGUGUAUUGAGGUGUGUGUGUGCGUGUGCGUGUAUUGAGGUGUGUGUGUGUGUAUUGAGGUGUGUGUGUGCGUGCACACGCCCAUGUGUUUUCUUUCUCAGCGACACAGGUAAAAGGAGAAUAGUGAUUUUGAUUGGCAUAUCAUUUCAUAAAACAACAUUUACAUAUUAAUGAUACAACAUACAUGAUACAGUAAUAAGGAGUAAAAAUUAUAGUGAUAAAACAAGAAAUAACAUAAAAAAAGGAGCAUUAUUUGUUACAAAAUGAAGCUACAUAGUAACACGUAAUCAGCUUCUAUACCAGUUGGAACCAGUUGGAACCAGUUGAAACCAGUUGGAACCAGUUGAAACCAGUUGGAACCAGUUGGAAACACCAUCAGAGCAUUAAGCAGUCCGUAUAUACAGUGCUAAACUACACCUACUAUGCUGGUGUCACUAUAAAGGCUGGCUGGUGCAUUAUAAAUAAGCUAAAACAGUACACUGUACUCAUGUAUGGCAAAAUCAUAUUGGUAAUACAGUAUAAUACUAUAUGUUUAUAUUGUGUCAUCUUCAAUUAAGUAUAUUCAUUUGAUUAUUUGUUUUUGAAUUUAGAUUUCUUAUGACAUGACAGGUCAGGUAAGAUUUAACACAUACUGGUCAGAGGGAUAUUGUGUCAAUACAUCUGUUUCAACCAACCAGGGGCCUGUAUUUGUGAUCAAAGAUAUUUUUUUUGGACAUCGACAAUGGGAACUUGAUCCUAGAUCAGCACUCCUACCCUGAGAACUGAUCCUAGACCAGCACUCCUAUCCUGAGACCUGAUCCUAGCUCAGCACUCCAACUCUAAGGCGAUUUCUGAAAACGGGCCCAGGUCUCUGUAUUGGAGAGAGAUGGUGCAUUCUGAACUUGAGAUGGGAAUAGGUAUUUUGUUAACUUGAGAUAUUCAGAUACCAGAUAAUAUCCAAAGGGGUCCUUCAUCACGUAGUAAUACAUGUAUAUACUAAAUUCUGUAUUACAUGACAUAUGAGGAACACAAUCAAUGUUGUUUCAAAGAGGACAGUGGUCAGUGAGUAAGGAAAAGAUAUCACUACAAAAAGUAUAGGCUAAUAACAGAGUACAUGUGAAGAGGUGUGUUUUCCAGAGGAGAUACUUAUAAACAUGGCUGAAGGGAAAGGGUGUUGUUUCCCGUCAGGGAGGGGAAGACGAAAAGCGUUACACAUAUUCAGAGCAAUGAAUGGAAAGGCUAGAAUAAUACAAUACUCCAGUGUAUAAAUCCAUCACUCUUUCAGUAGGCUGCCAGCGUGGCUUCUGGCCAAACCGUUUUCUCCUUCAGUUACACAAGGCCAUGUCACAAAAUGGCCACCUUUUGUUAGUUUAAAUAAAUAGGAUUUUAAACACUCUGUGGCUCAAACAUGAACAGCAUUCAAUCAAUCAGCAUUCAAUCAAGUCCAUGAGCUGCUUCUGUCUUGAGAUAAGCCAACCUUCUUGUAGAGAAAGAUAAGGCACCAGCGGUUUAAAAAACACCAUUCAGAUGUUGAUAUUUGUGUGGGUUAUCAACAUCAUCAUCGAGAGCAGAAAGAAAUCGCCAAUCUUCUACAAUUCAAGCAUAUAAAUUUAACAUACAUGUAGCUAAGAAAGUACUUUGUCUAAAACACAAAUGUAGUAUUUGCUAGUGGUCCAGUGAGUGAGUUACCGUGUACUAAGUUUCCAGUGGGCAAGUUACAGUGUACUAAGUAUUUUCAUUGUUCUUCAAACAUAUAGUCAGUGUUGGACCUGAACAAUGGAUGCAGUUAUCAGCUGCUGAGAUCAUACAGUGUUCCAGAUCAUACAGUGUUCCAGAUCAUACAGUGUUCCAGAUCAUACAGUGUUCCAGAUCAUACAGUGUAUAUACAGUGUUCCAGAUCAUACAGUGUUCCAGAUCAUACAGUGUAUAUACAGUGUUCCAGAUCAUACAGUGUUCCAGAUCAUACAGUGUUCCAGAUCAUACAGUGUUCCAGAUCAUACAGUGUAUAUACAGUGUUCCAGAUCAUACAGUGUUCCAGAUCAUACAGUGUAUAUACAGUGUUCCAGAUCAUACAGUGUUCCAGAUCAUACAGUGUUCCAGAUCAUACAGUGUAUAUACAGUGUUCCAGAUCAUACAGUGUUCCAGAUCAUACAGUGUUCCAGAUCAUACAGUGUAUAUACAGUGUUCCAGAUCAUACAGUGUUCCAGAUCAUACAGUGCAUACACAGUGUUCCAGAUCGUACAGUGUAUAUACAGUGUUCCAUCCAGUCAUAUAAUUAGAAUUAUUCUAACUCUAUGGUUCCAGUACAGUGUUCCAGAUUAUACAGUGUAGCUGUGCUGCUGAGAUCAUACAUUGCAGAGCCAUACUGUGUAUUUAGAAAGAUAUGGUUCUUAUACAGUGUACAGUGUUUAUCCUCAGCAUUGUGCAAUGUUCCCAGUUAUCUGAGUUGAUAUCCAGUCUUAUCAUGGCGAGUCAUUCCUUGUAGAUAUAAAAUGUAUUUACUCCUGUGAAUCAAUGCAUUUAAAAUUCAAAUGUGUUUCUUUAUAUAACAUUGGCCUUCGUGGAUCAGCUAGCUACCUAUAUAGAUCCAUCAUCACCAAAAACAAGCUGAUGUAGCUGAAAUCACAUUACAGCGACCAGUAGCUUAUCUGUUACGCCACAUUUAUGCACUACGUACGCAGUGCAAGUAGUGCACUAUAUAGGGAAUAGGGUUCUAUAGGGCUCUGGUCUAAAGUAGUGCACUAUAUAGGGAAUAGGGUUCUAUAGGGCUCUGGUCUAAAGUAGUGCACUAUAUAGGGAAUAUGGUUCUAUAGGGCUCUGAUCUAAAUUAGUGCACUAUAUAUAGGGAAUACGGUUCUAUAGGGCUCUGGUCAACAUUAGUGUACUAUAUAUAGGGAAUAGGGUUCUAUAGGGCUCUGGUCUAAAGUAGUGUACUAUAUAGGGAAUAUGGUUCUAUAGGGCUCUGAUCUAAAGUAGUGCACUAUAUAGGGAAUAGGGUUCUAUAGGG
Oncorhynchus tshawytscha (Chinook salmon) is the source of this 3593-nucleotide long non-coding RNA. Lineage: Eukaryota; Metazoa; Chordata; Actinopteri; Salmoniformes; Salmonidae. The record is from Ensembl.